GUGGUUACUAAUUUACUUUAGUAGAUCUUUUUUCAGAUAUUGGCGGACACAUUUUGUAAAACUAACCCUAACCCUAAACAUUCAAACAUUGUGCAAUAUGUAUACGUCUUGAGGUGCAAACGAAAUUUGAGAGCUAUGACACCAAGACAUUAGUUUCAGAAGGAUUGAAAUGAAGAGAAGUAGUUACUAUUGGAUUUUUUUCAGCCCCUGUUCACUCACUGUAUACUUUUGUACAGAAAUGGUCAGUUUGGAUAAGUAAGCUAAAUGCCUCAUUUUGUGUUACACCUAAGAAUAAAAAGUCAUAUUGGAACAACACUAGAGUUAAUAAACGAUGUCAGAAUUUCAAUUUGGGAAGAACAUUCCCUUUAAGGUCACCAUAAAGAUCAAAUUGACCAUUGAAUAUCGCAGUAUUUAUUGUAAAUGAUUUAUCUGUGCACAUCAUUUGUUUUAAUCAAAAUAACUUCCUCUUUCCCUUGCAACAAAUUCUCUUCUCUGAAGGCAUGUUUACUGGCAUAAGGGCGGGACAACCUGUCACUCACAUGAGAUUGCGCAAAUGACAACGAUCCAAUGAUCCAAUCAAUUCCUGAUGGACAAAAUCAGGUCUCGUCGUACAUUUUUUCUUGUCCUAGGAGCCAUUUCACUCGGAUACCCCGUGCUUUAAUGAUCCCAGGUACUGAGGAACAUCUAUAAGUGCCCUUGCUGGAUAUUCUGGUUCAGGUACAGUGGAGCUAGUCCUAUAAUAAAUGCAUUAUUUGUUGAUUUCAGUGUGACAAGAGAAAACAGACUUAUUAAAUUAAAAGCUAUUGCUUACAGUACCGUCUUAUUGCCUCCUUACAUUCCUG
Long non-coding RNA from Megalobrama amblycephala (Wuchang bream), 842 nucleotides. RefSeq lists it as uncharacterized. The record is from RefSeq and is a predicted model, not a curated record. Lineage: Eukaryota; Metazoa; Chordata; Actinopteri; Cypriniformes; Xenocyprididae. The transcript has 2 exons.